GACGAACGCUGGCGGCGUGCUUAACACAUGCAAGUCGAACGGAAAGGCCCUGCUUUUGUGGGGUGCUCGAGUGGCGAACGGGUGAGUAACACGUGAGUAACCUGCCCUUGACUUUGGGAUAACUUCAGGAAACUGGGGCUAAUACCGGAUAGGAGCUCCUGCUGCAUGGUGGGGGUUGGAAAGUUUCGGCGGUUGGGGAUGGACUCGCGGCUUAUCAGCUUGUUGGUGGGGUAGUGGCUUACCAAGGCUUUGACGGGUAGCCGGCCUGAGAGGGUGACCGGCCACAUUGGGACUGAGAUACGGCCCAGACUCCUACGGGAGGCAGCAGUGGGGAAUAUUGCACAAUGGGCGGAAGCCUGAUGCAGCAACGCCGCGUGCGGGAUGACGGCCUUCGGGUUGUAAACCGCUUUCGCCUGUGACGAAGCGUGAGUGACGGUAAUGGGUAAAGAAGCACCGGCUAACUACGUGCCAGCAGCCGCGGUGAUACGUAGGGUGCGAGCGUUGUCCGGAUUUAUUGGGCGUAAAGGGCUCGUAGGUGGUUGAUUGCGUCGGAAGUGUAAUCUUGGGGCUUAACCCUGAGCGUGCUUUCGAUACGGGUUGACUUGAGGAAGGUAGGGGAGAAUGGAAUUCCUGGUGGAGCGGUGGAAUGCGCAGAUAUCAGGAGGAACACCAGUGGCGAAGGCGGUUCUCUGGGCCUUUCCUGACGCUGAGGAGCGAAAGCGUGGGGAGCGAACAGGCUUAGAUACCCUGGUAGUCCACGCUGUAAACGGUGGGUACUAGGUGUGGGGUCCAUUCCACGGGUUCCGUGCCGUAGCUAACGCUUUAAGUACCCCGCCUGGGGAGUACGGCCGCAAGGCUAAAACUCAAAGGAAUUGACGGGGCCCCGCACAAGCGGCGGAGCAUGCGGAUUAAUUCGAUGCAACGCGUAGAACCUUACCUGGGUUUGACAUGGAUCGGGAGCGCUCAGAGAUGGGUGUGCCUCUUUUGGGGUCGGUUCACAGGUGGUGCAUGGCUGUCGUCAGCUCGUGUCGUGAGAUGUUGGGUUAAGUCCCGCAACGAGCGCAACCCUUGUUCACUGUUGCCAGCACGUUAUGGUGGGGACUCAGUGGAGACCGCCGGGGUCAACUCGGAGGAAGGUGGGGAUGACGUCAAGUCAUCAUGCCCCUUAUGUCCAGGGCUUCACGCAUGCUACAAUGGCUGGUACAGAGAGUGGCGAGCCUGUGAGGGUGAGCGAAUCUCGGAAAGCCGGUCUCAGUUCGGAUUGGGGUCUGCAACUCGACCUCAUGAAGUCGGAGUCGCUAGUAAUCGCAGAUCAGCAACGCUGCGGUGAAUACGUUCCCGGGGCU
RNAcentral lists this ribosomal RNA (1346 nucleotides) under uncultured bacterium. RNAcentral describes it as "bacterial SSU rRNA". It matches the Rfam family "Bacterial small subunit ribosomal RNA", at positions 28 to 1381 of the family's 1533-position model. The record is from RNAcentral.